UACGUAGGUGACAAGCGUUGUCCGGAUUUACUGGGCGUAAAGCGCGUGUAGGCGGGUCGGCAAGUCAGGCGUGAAAUCCCCAGGCUCAACCUGGGAACUGCGCUUGAAACUGCCGGUCUUGAGUAUCGGAGAGGGUGGCGGAAUUCCUGGUGUAGAGGUGAAAUUCGUAGAUAUCAGGAGGAACACCGGUGGCGAAGGCGGCCACCUGGACGAUUACUGACGCUGAGGUGCGAAAGCGUGGGGAGCAAACAGG
Molecule: ribosomal RNA, 253 nt
Filed under: uncultured bacterium
Lineage: Bacteria
Description: partial 16S ribosomal RNA
Rfam family: Bacterial small subunit ribosomal RNA
Source: RNAcentral